CACGUAGGGGGCGCGCGUUGUCCGGAUUCAUUGGGCGUAAAGCGCGCGCAGGCGGCUCGGAAAGUCGGGUGUGAAAACCUGGGGCUCAACCCCGGGCGUGCAUCCGAUACUGCCGGGCUUGAGGCAGGUAGGGGAGAUCGGAAUUCCUGGUGUAGCGGUGAAAUGCGCAGAUAUCAGGAAGAACACCCGUGGCUAAGGCGGCUCUCUAGUACGGUACUGACGCUGAGACGCGAAAGCGUGGGGAGCGAACAGG
RNAcentral lists this ribosomal RNA (253 nucleotides) under uncultured bacterium. RNAcentral's name for it is "partial 16S ribosomal RNA". It matches the Rfam family "Bacterial small subunit ribosomal RNA", at positions 524 to 776 of the family's 1533-position model. The record is from RNAcentral.